This 326-nucleotide ribosomal RNA is filed under the name uncultured Pseudomonadota bacterium. RNAcentral's name for it is "bacterial SSU rRNA". It matches the Rfam family "Bacterial small subunit ribosomal RNA", at positions 28 to 351 of the family's 1533-position model. Lineage: Bacteria; Pseudomonadati; Pseudomonadota. The record is from RNAcentral.
GACGAACGCUGGCGGCGCGCUUCAUACAUGCAAGUCGAACGAGAAGCUCGGAGCUUGCUCCGGGUGGAAAGUGGCGAACGGGUGAGGAACACGUGAGGAACCUGCCCCAGAGACCGGGAUAACACCGGGAAACCGGUGCUAAUACCGGAUGCCCUCAUCGGAUCGCAUGGUCCGAUGAGGAAAUGAAUUCCGCUCUGGGAUGGCCUCGCGGCCUAUCAGCUUGUUGGUGGGGUAACGGCCCACCAAGGCUUCGACGGGUAGCUGGUCUGAGAGGAUGUCCAGCCACACUGGGACUGAGACACGGCCCAGACUCCUACGGGAGGCUG